Molecule: ribosomal RNA, 486 nt
Filed under: uncultured bacterium
Lineage: Bacteria
Description: partial 16S ribosomal RNA
Rfam family: Bacterial small subunit ribosomal RNA
Source: RNAcentral
AUUGAACGCUGGCGGCAUGCCUUACACAUGCAAGUCGAACGGCAGCACGGGUGCUUGCACCUGGUGGCGAGUGGCGAACGGGUGAGUAAUACAUCGGAACAUGUCCUGUAGUGGGGGAUAGCCCGGCGAAAGCCGGAUUAAUACCGCAUACGAUCUACGGCUGAAAGCGGGGGACCUUCGGGCCUCGCGCUAUAGGGUUGGCCGAUGUCUGAUUAGCUAGUUGGUGGGGUAAAGGCCUACCAAGGCGACGAUCAGUAGCUGGUCUGAGAGGACGACCAGCCACACUGGGACUGAGACACGGCCCAGACUCCUACGGGAGGCAGCAGUGGGGAAUUUUGGACAAUGGGCGAAAGCCUGAUCCAGCAAUGCCGCGUGUGUGAAGAAGGCCUUCGGGUUGUAAAGCACUUUUGUCCGGAAAGAAAUCCUUGGCCCUAAUACGGUCGGGGGAUGACGGUACCGGAAGAAUAAGCACCGGCUAACUACGUG